UGAUUGAUGGGCUGAUGCCAAGUGUU
RNAcentral lists this non-coding RNA (26 nucleotides) under Rattus norvegicus (Norway rat). Lineage: Eukaryota; Metazoa; Chordata; Mammalia; Rodentia; Muridae. The record is from RNAcentral.